GUGAUACAUGUCUUGGACUAUGCCACUUCAAUCCUUAGAAAAUACUUUAACUUCCCCAAAUGUUUAGUCUAAAAGUGACUGAAUAAAUGCUGCCUAAGUUGAGAAAUCCCUUGAUGAUCAUUAUCUGUUAUGAUAAUAUCAUCAACAUAAACUAUUAGAUAAAUGCAUUUACCACGAUCAUUUUGAUGAUAAAACACUGGAUGAUCAUCUUCACUUUGAA
RNAcentral lists this unclassified non-coding RNA (220 nucleotides) under Hevea brasiliensis (rubber tree). The record is from RNAcentral. Lineage: Eukaryota; Viridiplantae; Streptophyta; Magnoliopsida; Malpighiales; Euphorbiaceae.